AUUGAACGCUGGCGGCAGGCCUAACACAUGCAAGUCGAAAGAGUGGCGGACGGGUGAGUAAUGUCUGGGAAACUGCCCGAUGGAGGGGGAUAACUACUGGAAACGGUAGCUAAUACCGCAUACCAUCGGAUGUGCCUAGAUGGGAUUAGCUGGUAGGUGGGGUAACGGCUCACCCAGGCGACGAUCUCUAGCGGGUCUGAGAGGAUGACCAGCCACACGGGAACUGAGACACGGUCCAGACUCCUACGGGAGGAAGCAGUGGGGAAUAUUGCGCAAUGGGCGCAAGCCUUAUGCAGCCAUGCCGCGUGUAUGAAGAAGGCCUUCGGGUUGUAAAGUACUUUCAGCGAGGAGGCGUUACUCGCAGAAGAAGCACCGGCUAACUCCGGGCCAGCAGCCGCGGUAAUAC
RNAcentral lists this ribosomal RNA (406 nucleotides) under uncultured bacterium. Its description in RNAcentral is "partial 16S ribosomal RNA". It matches the Rfam family "Bacterial small subunit ribosomal RNA", at positions 30 to 526 of the family's 1533-position model. The record is from RNAcentral.